AAAAUCCGUCGAUUUUCAAAAUCGUGAGG
This 29-nucleotide transfer RNA is filed under the name Campanula glomerata (clustered bellflower). RNAcentral's name for it is "partial tRNA-Leu". RNAcentral also lists the same sequence under 11 other names. Lineage: Eukaryota; Viridiplantae; Streptophyta; Magnoliopsida; Asterales; Campanulaceae. The record is from RNAcentral.